CCAGCAAUCAUCACACCAACAGAUUGUAUCAAAUCAGAUAUAACAUGCAGGUAAGCCCCUUCAAUAUUUAUGUUUGAUGGUUUGCUGCAACUAUGGCAUGAUGCUACCAGUUUCGAGCUCUCUUCUUCAUUUCUUGGAUGCAAUUCUUGCAUUUCAUGAUCAUGAUUGUGAUCAUGACCGUGACCAUGGUCAUGAUCCUUGCAAGGACU
Molecule: unclassified non-coding RNA, 209 nt
Filed under: Hevea brasiliensis (rubber tree)
Lineage: Eukaryota; Viridiplantae; Streptophyta; Magnoliopsida; Malpighiales; Euphorbiaceae
Source: RNAcentral